GGUCUAUUAGCUCAGUUGGUUAGAGCGUGGUGCUAAUACGCAAGUAGUUAACGCCAAGGUCGCAGGUUCGACCCCUGCAUGGAUCA
Non-coding RNA from Pyronema omphalodes, 86 nucleotides. Lineage: Eukaryota; Fungi; Ascomycota; Pezizomycetes; Pezizales; Pyronemataceae. The record is from the annotation of a GenBank genome assembly.